RNAcentral lists this ribosomal RNA (778 nucleotides) under uncultured bacterium. Its description in RNAcentral is "bacterial SSU rRNA". It matches the Rfam family "Bacterial small subunit ribosomal RNA", at positions 1 to 778 of the family's 1533-position model. The record is from RNAcentral.
CCCUUAGAGUUUGAUCCUGGCUCAGAUUGAACGCUGGCGGCAUGCCUUACACAUGCAAGUCGAACGGCAGCGCGGGGCAACCUGGCGGCGAGUGGCGAACGGGUGAGUAAUAUAUCGGAACGUACCCUGGAGUGGGGGAUAACGUAGCGAAAGUUACGCUAAUACCGCAUACGAUCUAAGGAUGAAAGUGGGGGAUCGCAAGACCUCAUGCUCCUGGAGCGGCCGAUAUCUGAUUAGCUAGUUGGUGGGGUAAAGGCCUGCCAAGGCAUCGAUCAGUAGCUGGUCUGAGAGGACGACCAGCCACACUGGAACUGAGACACGGUCCAGACUCCUACGGGAGGCAGCAGUGGGGAAUUUUGGACAAUGGGCGCAAGCCUGAUCCAGCAAUGCCGCGUGAGUGAAGAAGGCCUUCGGGUUGUAAAGCUCUUUUGUCAGGGAAGAAACGGUGAGGGCUAAUAUCCCUUGCUAAUGACGGUACCUGAAGAAUAAGCACCGGCUAACUACGUGCCAGCAGCCGCGGUAAUACGUAGGGUGCAAGCGUUAAUCGGAAUUACUGGGCGUAAAGCGUGCGCAGGCGGUUUUGUAAGUCUGUCGUGAAAUCCCCGGGCUCAACCUGGGAAUUGCGAUGGAGACUGCAAGGCUAGAAUCUGGCAGUGGGGGGUAGAAUUCCACGUGUAGCAGUGAAAUGCGUAGAGAUGUGGAGGAACACCGAUGGCGAAGGCAGCCCCCUGGGUCAAGAUUGACGCUCAUGCACGAAAGCGUGGGGAGCAAACAGAUA